Molecule: ribosomal RNA, 289 nt
Filed under: uncultured bacterium
Lineage: Bacteria
Description: partial 16S ribosomal RNA
Rfam family: Bacterial small subunit ribosomal RNA
Source: RNAcentral
UUGGAUUAGAUACCCUGGUAGUCCACGCCCUAAACGAUGUCAACUGGUUGUUGGGUCUUCACUGACUCAGUAACGAAGCUAACGCGUGAAGUUGACCGCCUGGGGAGUACGGCCGCAAGGUUAAAACUCAAAGGAAUUGACGGGGACCCGCACAAGCGGUGGAUGAUGUGGAUUAAUUCGAUGCAACGCGAAAAACCUUACCUACCCUUGACAUGUCCAGGAGCCUGAAGAGAUUUGGGUGUGCCCGAAAGGGAACUGGAACACAGGUGCUGCAUGGUUGUCGACAGCU